Molecule: unclassified non-coding RNA, 898 nt
Filed under: Hevea brasiliensis (rubber tree)
Lineage: Eukaryota; Viridiplantae; Streptophyta; Magnoliopsida; Malpighiales; Euphorbiaceae
Source: RNAcentral
CAAUCCUGUCACUUGUUCCUAGACGAGGUUCAUGCAAUAUAACCUUGGCACCUGAGAUCUGAUUAAGGAAUACCAGAUGAUAAGCUGAAGUUGACUUUAAAAUAUAUACUGUUAAAAUGGCUUAAGGUGUGAAACAGUUCUGAAUAAAUUAGCCUUAAUUAUUAUUGAAAAGAAGAUUCCGGAAUAAAUUAAAUAAAACAUAUGCACAUCUUGCCAUCAGCAUCAGGAGGACAAAACUUAUUUCUAGUGCUCAAAUAUUUCCCAUAUAGGCUAAUCAGUUGCAGAAUAUUUUAAUUUCAUGUUUCUUGAUGAGACUACUAUAAAUAACAUUAGGAUAAAAAUUCCUAAGGUGUGGUUCAAUUUUGCUUUUUAUAUGACAAUUUUCAAAUAGAAUUGCAAGUCUUCCACUAAUAUUUCUAUUUUUACUUUAUAUAUUUCCAAUUAUAUAUGCGGACCGGACACAUAACGUGCUUAACGGUUUCACUGGGCCUGUUUUUGAAGGAUUUUCAAUUGAUUUCUAGGUACGAGGUUUGUUUGAUAUACAUACAGUUGAAUUGCAGCUGUUCUACACUUGUAGUUGGCCAUGAAGUUAAUAAGUUCUAAUGGCUUUGGAUUUAGAAAGGCUGUCAGAUGGAUUGUAUUAUUGUUUCUCUUCUCGCUUCACAAUAUGGCCAUAAGUAAUGGAAAAAUGAUUUGUAUUUUCUUGACAGUAAAUAUGAUUCAAGUUUUUUCAAAGUUGCAUUUUUCAUUUAUUUUAAAUAUGGAAAUCUUUAUAUAUCAAAAUUGGUAAGGGCUGUGAAUGAUUUUCCUCCCAAGUUAUUACAUUGACCAUGUCUUUGUUUUCUGAUUUAACUGUUAAAAUAGUACACAUAUCCAGUUAUUCAUGCUAUCAAAGAGA